GACGAACGCUGGCGGCGUGCUUAACACAUGCAAGUCGAACGGUGAAGCGCCUUCCUUGUUGGUGGGUGUGGAUGAGUGGCGAACGGGUGAGUAACACGUGAGUAACCUGCCCCCUUCUUCUGGAUAACCGCAUGAAAGUGUGGCUAAUACGGGAUAUUCUGGGUCUGUCGCAUGAUGGGUCUGGGACAGAUAUUGUUUCGGUGGUGGAUGGGCUCGCGGCCUAUCAGCUUGUUGGUGGGGUGAUGGCCUACCAAGGCGGUGACGGGUAGCCGGCCUGAGAGGGUGGACGGUCACACUGGGACUGAGACACGGCCCGGACUCCUACGGGAGGCAGCAGUGGGGAAUAUUGCACAAUGGGCGCAAGCCUGAUGCAGCGACGCCGCGUGAGGGAUGGAGGCCUUCGGGUUGUGAACCUCUUUCGCCAGUGAAGCAGGCCUGCCUCGUUUGUGGGUGGGUUGACGGUAGCUGGAUAAGAAGCGCCGGCUAACUACGUG
RNAcentral lists this ribosomal RNA (494 nucleotides) under uncultured bacterium. RNAcentral's name for it is "partial 16S ribosomal RNA". It matches the Rfam family "Bacterial small subunit ribosomal RNA", at positions 28 to 507 of the family's 1533-position model. The record is from RNAcentral.